Molecule: long non-coding RNA, 335 nt
Filed under: Capsicum annuum
Lineage: Eukaryota; Viridiplantae; Streptophyta; Magnoliopsida; Solanales; Solanaceae
Description: long non-coding RNA (CANN_LNC013011)
Source: RNAcentral
GUUUACAAGAAUAUAGUCUUCGAACAUAUAAACGGAAAAGAGAACGAAUUAGCUGACCAGUUAAGUAGACUACAACUAGGAAUAAAUAAAUAAGUUUUAAUUUUACUCAUUUGUUUUCAGCAUGAGACCAACAGGACAACCUCCUGCAGACAAAGGCAAAGGUGUAGCUUCGUCCUCAGAGGCUUACCAACAGACUAUGUUAGGUAACUUAAAUUUUAGACCAUUAGAAUCUCUCGAGACAAUGGAACGAAUUUAUUUCAGCCCAUUUAAUUUAAUCGCAUACCCCGAGAGCAAUAUAUCUUUUAGAAUAAGACCAGACUACGUUUUAGACAGAC